Molecule: small nucleolar RNA, 143 nt
Filed under: Microcebus murinus (gray mouse lemur)
Lineage: Eukaryota; Metazoa; Chordata; Mammalia; Primates; Cheirogaleidae
Description: Small nucleolar RNA ACA59 (ENSMICG00000025456.3)
Rfam family: Small nucleolar RNA ACA59
Source: Rfam by way of RNAcentral
GCCCAGGCCACAGUAAUGAGUAGUGCUGCCCUCCCAGCCAGGCUGCUCAUGACCCCAGGCGAGUUACUCAACAUUCGUGACUUAGUUACCCGUCAGUACGGCAGGGGAGCAGCACUUCCUCUAGUUAGUGGUGAAGAACAACU